Molecule: long non-coding RNA, 487 nt
Filed under: Pongo abelii (Sumatran orangutan)
Lineage: Eukaryota; Metazoa; Chordata; Mammalia; Primates; Hominidae
Description: lincRNA
Source: RNAcentral
AGAGCCCCAGAGGCAGAGCUGCCCAGGGCUUUGGGAGCCCACUCCUUGCAUCACUGUGCCCUGGAUGUGAGACAUGGAAUCAAGGAGAUUAUUUUGGAGCUUUAAGAGGUAAUGGCACCCUGCUGGGUUUCAGACUUGAGUGGGGCCUGUAGCCUCUUUCUUUUGGCCGAUUUCUCCCUUUUGGAAUGGGAGUAUUUACCCAAUGCCUGUACCCCCAUGAUGUGUCCCCUUCCUCCACCACAAGACUGUAAGUUUCCUGGAGCCUCCCCAGAAGCUGAGCAGAAGCUGCUAUGCUUCCUGUUCAGCCUGCAGAACCGCCACUUCCAGCAUCGAUGGUGUCAGGUCAGGUCCCCUGGGUAGAAGAAAUGGAGUCAGUUAGGAGUGCUGGAGACUGAGUAAGAGAUGGCAGCUGAGGCUUUACUACCCCAGGGAGGGGAUGCCACCAGAGAAGGCAGACAACCAAGAUGGCAACUCUCAAUUUUUGUGC